Molecule: ribosomal RNA, 464 nt
Filed under: Vreelandella stevensii
Lineage: Bacteria; Pseudomonadati; Pseudomonadota; Gammaproteobacteria; Oceanospirillales; Halomonadaceae
Description: partial 16S ribosomal RNA
Rfam family: Bacterial small subunit ribosomal RNA
Source: RNAcentral
CCUACGGGGGGCAGCAGUGGGGAAUAUUGGACAAUGGGCGAAAGCCUGAUCCAGCCAUGCCGCGUGUGUGAAGAAGGCCUUCGGGUUGUAAAGCACUUUCAGUGGGGAAGAAAGCCUUGGGGCUAAUACCCUCGAGGAAGGACAUCACCCACAGAAGAAGCACCGGCUAACUCCGUGCCAGCAGCCGCGGUAAUACGGAGGGUGCGAGCGUUAAUCGGAAUUACUGGGCGUAAAGCGCGCGUAGGCGGUCUGAUAAGCCGGUUGUGAAAGCCCCGGGCUCAACCUGGGAACGGCAUCCGGAACUGUCAGGCUAGAGUGCAGGAGAGGAAGGUAGAAUUCCCGGUGUAGCGGUGAAAUGCGUAGAGAUCGGGAGGAAUACCAGUGGCGAAGGCGGCCUUCUGGACUGACACUGACGCUGAGGUGCGAAAGCGUGGGUAGCAAACAGGAUUAGAUACCCUGGUAGU